GACGAACGCUGGCGGCGUGCUUAACACAUGCAAGUCGAACGAAGAGCGACGGAAGCUUGCUUCUAUCAAUCUUAGUGGCGAACGGGUGAGUAACGCGUAAUCAACCUGCCCUUCAGAGGGGGACAACAGUUGGAAACGACUGCUAAUACCGCAUACGAUCUAAUCUCGGCAUCGAGGAUGGAUGAAAGGUGGCCUCUACAUGUAAGCUAUCACUGAAGGAGGGGAUUGCGUCUGAUUAGCUAGUUGGAGGGGUAACGGCCCACCAAGGCGAUGAUCAGUAGCCGGUCUGAGAGGAUGAACGGCCACAUUGGGACUGAGACACGGCCCAGACUCCUACGGGAGGCAGCAGUGGGGAAUCUUCCGCAAUGGAUGAAAGUCUGACGGAGCAACGCCGCGUGAGUGAUGACGGCCUUCGGGUUGUAAAGCUCUGUUAAUCGGGACGAAAGGCCUUCUUGCGAAUAGUGAGGAGGAUUGACGGUACCGGAAUAGAAAGCCACGGCUAACUACGUG
This 510-nucleotide ribosomal RNA is filed under the name uncultured bacterium. Its description in RNAcentral is "partial 16S ribosomal RNA". It matches the Rfam family "Bacterial small subunit ribosomal RNA", at positions 28 to 507 of the family's 1533-position model. The record is from RNAcentral.